This 840-nucleotide ribosomal RNA is filed under the name Candida albicans. RNAcentral's name for it is "LSU rRNA". It matches the Rfam family "Eukaryotic large subunit ribosomal RNA", at positions 77 to 935 of the family's 3401-position model. Lineage: Eukaryota; Fungi; Ascomycota; Pichiomycetes; Serinales; Debaryomycetaceae. The record is from RNAcentral.
GCCUCAGUAGCGGCGAGUGAAGCGGCAAAAGCUCAAAUUUGAAAUCUGGCGUCUUUGGCGUCCGAGUUGUAAUUUGAAGAAGGUAUCUUUGGGCCCGGCUCUUGUCUAUGUUCCUUGGAACAGGACGUCACAGAGGGUGAGAAUCCCGUGCGAUGAGAUGACCCGGGUCUGUGUAAAGUUCCUUCGACGAGUCGAGUUGUUUGGGAAUGCAGCUCUAAGUGGGUGGUAAAUUCCAUCUAAAGCUAAAUAUUGGCGAGAGACCGAUAGCGAACAAGUACAGUGAUGGAAAGAUGAAAAGAACUUUGAAAAGAGAGUGAAAAAGUACGUGAAAUUGUUGAAAGGGAAGGGCUUGAGAUCAGACUUGGUAUUUUGCAUGUUGCUCUCUCGGGGGCGGCCGCUGCGGUUUACCGGGCCAGCAUCGGUUUGGAGCGGCAGGAUAAUGGCGGAGGAAUGUGGCACGGCUUCUGCUGUGUGUUAUAGCCUCUGACGAUACUGCCAGCCUAGACCGAGGACUGCGGUUUUUUACCUAGGAUGUUGGCAUAAUGAUCUUAAGUCGCCCGUCUUGAAACACGGACCAAGGAGUCUAACGUCUAUGCGAGUGUUUGGGUGUAAAACCCGUACGCGUAAUGAAAGUGAACGAAGGUGGGGGCCUAUUAGGGUGCACCAUCGACCGAUCCUGAUGUGUUCGGAUGGAUUUGAGUAAGAGCAUAGCUGUUGGGACCCGAAAGAUGGUGAACUAUGCCUGAAUAGGGUGAAGCCAGAGGAAACUCUGGUGGAGGCUCGUAGCGGUUCUGACGUGCAAAUCGAUCGUCGAAUUUGGGUAUAGGGCGAAAGACUAAU